RNAcentral lists this ribosomal RNA (437 nucleotides) under uncultured bacterium. RNAcentral describes it as "bacterial SSU rRNA". It matches the Rfam family "Bacterial small subunit ribosomal RNA", at positions 364 to 793 of the family's 1533-position model. The record is from RNAcentral.
UUCCACAAUGGACGAAAGUCUGAUGGAGCAACGCCGCGUGAACGAUGAAGGCCUUCGGGUCGUAAAGUUCUGUUGUAAGGGGAAGAACAAGUGCCGCAGGCAAUGGCGGCACCUUGACGGUACCUUGCGAGAAAGCCACGGCUAACUACGUGCCAGCAGCCGCGGUAAUACGUAGGUGGCAAGCGUUGUCCGGAAUUAUUGGGCGUAAAGCGCGCGCAGGCGGCCUCUUAAGUCUGAUGUGAAAGCCCCGGCUCAACCGGGGAGGGCCAUUGGAAACUGGGAGGCUUGAGUAUAGGAGAGAAGAGUGGAAUUCCACGUGUAGCGGUGAAAUGCGUAGAGAUGUGGAGGAACACCAGUGGCGAAGGCGACUCUUUGGCCUAUAACUGACGCUGAGGCGCGAAAGCGUGGGGAGCAAACAGGAUUAGAUACCCUGGUAG